GGGAUGAACGGGCUGAUAUUCCCGUACCGGCAGCGAACCGAAACAACCGAGGCCUGGGGCGCUAACCUCCGGGUCCGUGCCGUCUCCCCUUUCGGGGGGUCGCGGCGCGGGCGCGUUGGGAUCCCCCCUCGCAGUAGGUCAGCGCAGGAGUGACGCAUCAGGGCAGCCGGCCGCGGAGGUGGUUUUCCGUGGUCAAGCGUUCGAGCCCGUCCCGCAGGCAAAUCCGCGGGGCGUCGGGGCGAGGCGUGAUGAUGGGGGCCUUACGGCCCGAAUCCGGUGAUCCGUGGUGCCGAGAAAAGCUUCGGCGUCAGGCGCGUUGCCGCCCGUACCCCAAACCGACACUGGUGGUCAGGUAGAGAAUACCAAAGCGAUCGAGCGAAUCCUGGUCAAGGAACUCGGCAAAUUGCUCCCGUGCCUUCGGCAUAAGGGAGACCCCCUGCGGUGAUGAGCGGCGGGGGGUGGCACAGGCCAGGGGGUAGCGACUGUUUACCAAAAACACAGGAGCGUGCGAAGGCGCAAGCCGCUGUAUACGCUCUGACGCCUGCCCGGUGCCGGAAGGUUAAGAGGAUCCGUCAGCUUCUGCGAAGCGGUGAAUUCAAGCCCCGGUAAACGGCGGUGGUAACAAUAACCAUCCUAAGGUAGCGAAAUUCCUUGUCGGGUAAGUUCCGACCUGCACGAAUGGCGUAACGACUUCCCCACUGUCUCGACCAGGAGCUCGGCGAAAUUGCAGUACGAGUAAAGAUGCUCGUUAAGCGCAGAAGGACGAAAAGACCCCGGGACCUUUACUAUACCUUGGUAUUGGCAUUAGGCGCGGAUUGUGUAGCAUAGGCGGGAGGCCUCGAGGCGGGUGCGCCAGCAUCCGCGGAGCCGCAAGGUGAAAUACCGCUCUGUUCUCGUUUGAUGUCUAACCUCGAACAGUCAUCCUGUUCAGGGACAGUGCCUGGCGGGUAGUUCAACUGGGGCGGUUGCCUCCCAAAGAGUAACGGAGGCGCUCAAAGGUCCGCUCGGCCCGGUUGGCAAUCGGGUGUCGAGUGUAAUCGCACAAGCGGGCUUGACUGCGAGAUCGACGGAUCGAGCAGGGACGAAAGUCGGAGAUAGUGAUCCGGUGCCGGCGCACGGGCGCGGCAUCGCUCAACGGAUAAAAGGUACCCCGGGGAUAACAGGCUGUUCAUUCCCAAGAGUCCAUAUCGACGGGAUGGUUUGGCACCUCGAUGUCGGCUCGUCGCAUCCUGGGGCUGGAGCAGGUCCCAAGGGUUCGGCUGUUCGCCGAUCAGAGCGGCACGCGAGCUGGAUUCAGAACGUCGUGAGACAGUUUGGUCUCUAUCCUCUGCGCUCGUUGGAAUCUUGAGGAGGCCUGCCCAUAGUACGAGAGGACCUGGGUGGACGAACCUCUGGUAUGCCGGUCGUCACGCCAGUGGCGCGGCCGGUUGGCUACGUUCGGAAGGGAUAACCGCUGAAAGCAUCUAAGCGGGAAGCCUUCUCCAAGAUAAGGAUUCCAUGCGGCCCCGAGCCGCUGAAGACCCCAUGCAGAACACGUGGUCGAUAGGCCGGACGUGGAAGCCCCGCGAAGGGUGGAGCCGACCGGUACUAAUGGUCGAGAGC
This 1602-nucleotide ribosomal RNA is filed under the name metagenome. Its description in RNAcentral is "bacterial LSU rRNA". It matches the Rfam family "Bacterial large subunit ribosomal RNA", at positions 1418 to 2915 of the family's 2925-position model. The record is from RNAcentral.